RNAcentral lists this ribosomal RNA (805 nucleotides) under Ceratopus dorytomoides. Its description in RNAcentral is "partial 28S ribosomal RNA". The stretch from base 407 to 805 matches the Rfam family "Eukaryotic large subunit ribosomal RNA", at positions 674 to 1063 of the family's 3401-position model. Lineage: Eukaryota; Metazoa; Arthropoda; Insecta; Coleoptera; Curculionidae. The record is from RNAcentral.
UUCAAGAGUACGUGAAACCGUUUAGGGGUAAACCUGAGAAACCCGAAAGGUCGAAGGGAGAAAUUCAUUCGCGUUUCGACGUAGGCGUCGGAUGGUCGUGUGACGGGGAGCGUUCGCGUUUUCCGCACCUUCUGUCCGUCGAACCGGCGACGAACGCGUGCACUUUUCUCCUGGUAGGACGUCGCGAUCCGUUGGGUGUCGGUCUACGGCUCGCGGUGGAGCCCGUUCGCCAUUACGUGCGAGCGGACCCGCGUGUCCCGGCUGACUCGCUCGACGGUAUACGAAAGGUUUGAGGCCGCUCUCGGAGCGUUCGACUCGUGGCAAGCGCGCCAGAUGUGUCGGCGAUCGGACCUAGUGCCGGUUCCGAUCUCUGGUGACUGUUGGCUGCGAAGUUCUCGAACAGACCUCUGACCGAUCUGCGACGCUAUAGCUUUUUCCUUGCGAAGACCGAGGGAAGACGGGCGGUUCACCCUUAAAAGUGGCCGCUCCGCAUUCCCGGGGCGUCUCGUUCUCAUCGCGAGAAGAGGCGCACCAAGAGCGUACACGCUGGGACCCGAAAGAUGGUGAACUAUGCCUGGUCAGGACGAAGUCAGGGGAAACCCUGAUGGAGGUCCGUAGCGAUUCUGACGUGCAAAUCGAUCGUCGGAACUGGGUAUAGGGGCGAAAGACUAAUCGAACCAUCUAGUAGCUGGUUCCCUCCGAAGUUUCCCUCAGGAUAGCUGGCGCUCGUUGCGCACGAGUCUCAUCCGGUAAAGCGAAUGAUUAGAGGCAUUGGGGUCGAAACGACCUCAACCUAUUCUCAAAC